RNAcentral lists this ribosomal RNA (233 nucleotides) under uncultured bacterium. RNAcentral's name for it is "partial 16S ribosomal RNA". It matches the Rfam family "Bacterial small subunit ribosomal RNA", at positions 524 to 754 of the family's 1533-position model. The record is from RNAcentral.
UACGAAGGGUGCUAGCGUUGUUCGGAAUCACUGGGCGUAAAGCGCGCGUAGGCGGCUUUUCAAGUCAGGGGUGAAAUCCUUGGGCUCAACCCAAGAACUGCCUUUGAAACUGUAAAGCUGGAGUGUCGGAGGGGAUAGCGGAAUUCCUAAUGUAGUGGUGAAAUACGUAGAUAUUAGGAGGAACACCGGUGGCGAAGGCGGCUAUCUGGACGACAACUGACGCGUGAGGCGGC